This 254-nucleotide ribosomal RNA is filed under the name uncultured bacterium. RNAcentral describes it as "partial 16S ribosomal RNA". It matches the Rfam family "Bacterial small subunit ribosomal RNA", at positions 524 to 776 of the family's 1533-position model. The record is from RNAcentral.
UACGUAGGGGCCUAGCGUUGUCCGGAAUUAUUGGGCGUAAAGAGCUCGUAGGCGGUUCGGCAAGUCGGAUGUGAAAUCUCCACGCUCAACGUGGAGGGGCCAUUCGAAACUGCCGUGACUCGAGUCCGGUAGGGGAGUGUGGAAUUCCCGGUGUAGCGGUGAAAUGCGCAGAUAUCAGGAAGAACACCCGUGGCUAAGGCGGCUCUCUAGUACGGUACUGACGCUGAGACGCGAAAGCGUGGGGAGCGAACAGG